RNAcentral lists this ribosomal RNA (253 nucleotides) under uncultured bacterium. RNAcentral's name for it is "partial 16S ribosomal RNA". It matches the Rfam family "Bacterial small subunit ribosomal RNA", at positions 524 to 776 of the family's 1533-position model. The record is from RNAcentral.
UACGUAGGGUGCGAGCGUUGUCCGGAAUUAUUGGGCGUAAAGAGCUUGUAGGCGGUCUGUCGCGUCUGCUGUGAAAAUCCGGGGCUCAACCCCGGACUUGCAGUGGGUACGGGCAGACUAGAGUGUGGUAGGGGAGACUGGAAUUCCUGGUGUAGCGGUGAAAUGCGCAGAUAUCAGGAGGAACACCGAUGGCGAAGGCAGGUCUCUGGGCCACGACUGACGCUGAGAAGCGAAAGCAUGGGGAGCGAACAGG